CCUACGGGAGGCAGCAGUGGGGAAUAUUGCACAAUGGGCGGAAGCCUGAUGCAGCGACGCCGCGUGAGGGAUGACGGCCUUCGGGUUGUAAACCUCUUUCAGUAGGGAAGAAGCGUAAGUGACGGUACCUGCAGAAGAAGCGCCGGCUAACUACGUGCCAGCAGCCGCGGUAAUACGUAGGGCGCAAGCGUUAUCCGGAAUUAUUGGGCGUAAAGAGCUCGUAGGCGGUUUGUCGCGUCUGCUGUGAAAGACCGGGGCUCAACUCCGGUUCUGCAGUGGGUACGGGCAGACUAGAGUGAUGUAGGGGAGACUGGAAUUCCUGGUGUAGCGGUGAAAUGCGCAGAUAUCAGGAGGAACACCGAUGGCGAAGGCAGGUCUCUGGGCAUUAACUGACGCUGAGGAGCGAAAGCAUGGGGAGCGAACAGGAUUAGAUACCCUGGUAGUCCAUGCCGUAAACGUUGGGCACUAGGUGUGGGGGACGAUUCCACGUUUUCCGCGCCGUAGCUAACGCAUUAAGUGCCCCGCCUGGGGAGUACGGCCGCAAGGCUAAAACUCAAAUGAAUUGACGGCUGAAGCGNGCGAGACGACACGAGGAGAGG
RNAcentral lists this ribosomal RNA (599 nucleotides) under uncultured bacterium. RNAcentral's name for it is "bacterial SSU rRNA". It matches the Rfam family "Bacterial small subunit ribosomal RNA", at positions 338 to 961 of the family's 1533-position model. The record is from RNAcentral.